CCUAGGGGAGGCUGCAGUGGGGAAUAUUGGACAAUGGGGGCAACCCUGAUCCAGCCAUGCCGCGUGUGUGAAGAAGGCCCUCGGGUUGUAAAGCACUUUCAGUGAGGAAGAACGCCUGGUGGUUAAUACCCAUCAGGAAAGACAUCACUCACAGAAGAAGCACCGGCUAACUCCGUGCCAGCAGCCGCGGUAAUACGGAGGGUGCGAGCGUUAAUCGGAAUUACUGGGCGUAAAGCGCGCGUAGGUGGCUUGAUAAGCCGGUUGUGAAAGCCCCGGGCUCAACCUGGGAACGGCAUCCGGAACUGUCAAGCUAGAGUGCAGGAGAGGAAGGUAGAAUUCCCGGUGUAGCGGUGAAAUGCGUAGAGAUCGGGAGGAAUACCAGUGGCGAAGGCGGCCUUCUGGACUGACACUGACACUGAGGUGCGAAAGCGUGGGUAGCAAACAGGAUUAGAUACCCCUGUAGUC
Molecule: ribosomal RNA, 465 nt
Filed under: Vreelandella stevensii
Lineage: Bacteria; Pseudomonadati; Pseudomonadota; Gammaproteobacteria; Oceanospirillales; Halomonadaceae
Description: partial 16S ribosomal RNA
Rfam family: Bacterial small subunit ribosomal RNA
Source: RNAcentral